ACUCUAAGCGGUGGAUCACUCGGCUCAUGGGUCGAUGAAGAACGCAGCAAACUGUGCGUCAUCGUGUGAACUGCAGGACACAUGAACAUCGACAUUUUGAACGCAUAUCGCAGUCCAUGCUGUUAUGUACUUUAAUUAAUUUUAUAGUGCUGCUUGGACUACAUAUGGUUGAGGGUUGUAAGACUAUGCUAAUUAAGUUGCUUAUAAAUUUUUAUAAGCAUAUGGUAUAUUAUUGGAUAAAUAUAAUAAUUUUUAUUCAUAAUAUUAAAAAAUAAAUGAAAAACAUUAUCUCACAUUUGAAUGUGAAAAACGAAGAGAAAUAUUUUCUUUUUCAAUCAAAUAAUACUGAGAAAUGUCUAGCAUAAAAAAUUGAAAUAUUUUUCAUCUAGAAUUGUCUCUUAUUAAUGAUUCGGAAAUAGAAAAAUCUUGGUUAUGUUAUUAUUCUUCGUUGGUUCGUUAAAAAUGGAUAAAUAAAAACUUUGCAUACAAGAAUUAAUAAAAAAUGUUAUAACGAAUUUAAUUAAAUGUUUUAUCAUUAUAUAUAAAGAAUUUAUGGCAAGAUAAAGUUAUAUACAACCUCAACUCAUAUGGGACUACCCCCUGAAUUUAAGCAUAUUAAUUAGGGGAGGAAAAGAAACUAACAAGGAUUUUCUUAGUAGCGGCGAGCGAAAAGAAAACAGUUCAGCACUAAGUCACUUUGUCUAUAUGGCAAAUGUGAGAUGCAGUGUAUGGAGCGUCAAUAUUCUAGUAUGAGAAAUUAACGAUUUAAGUCCUUCUUAAAUGAGGCCAUUUACCCAUAGAGGGUGCCAGGCCCGUAUAACGUUAAUGAUUACUAGAUGAUGUUUCCAAAGAGUCGUGUUGCUUGAUAGUGCAGCACUAAGUGGGUGGUAAACUCCAUCUAAAACUAAAUAUAACCAUGAGACCGAUAGUAAACAAGUACCGUGAGGGAAAGUUGAAAAGAACUCUGAAUAGAGAGUUAAACAGUACGUGAAACUGCUUAGAGGUUAAGCCCGAUGAACCUGAAUAUCCGUUAUGGAAAAUUCAUCAUUAAAAUUGUAAUAUUUAAAUAAUAUUAUGAGAAUAGUGUGCAUUUUUUCCAUAUAAGGACAUUGUAAUCUAUUAGCAUAUACCAAAUUUAUCAUAAAAUAUAACUUAUAGUUUAUUCCAAUUAAAUUGCUUGCAUUUUAACACAGAAUAAAUGUUAUUAAUUUGAUAAAGUGCUGAUAGAUUUAUAUGAUUACAGUGCGUUAAUUUUUCGGAAUUAUAUAAUGGCAUAAUUAUCAUUGAUUUUUGUGUUUAUUAUAUGCACUUGUAUGAUUAACAAUGCGAAAGAUUCAGGAUACCUUCGGGACCCGUCUUGAAACACGGACCAAGGAGUCUAACAUAUGUGCAAGUUAUUGGGAUAUAAACCUAAUAGCGUAAUUAACUUGACUAAUAAUGGAUUAGUUUUUUAGCUAUUUAUAGCUAAUUAACACAAUCCCGGGGCGUUCUAUAUAGUUAUGUAUAAUGUAUAUUUAUAUUAUUUAUGCCUCUAACUGGAACGUACCUUGAGCAUAUAUGCUGUGACCCGAAAGAUGGUGAACUAUACUUGAUCAGGUUGAAGUCAGGGGAAACCCUGAUGGAAGACCGAAACAGUUCUGACGUGCAAAUCGAUUGUCAGAAUUGAGUAUAGGGCGAAAGACCAAUCGAACCAUCUAGUAGCUGGUUCCUUCCGAAGUUUCCCUCAGGAUAGCUGGUGCAUUUUAAUAUUAUAUAAAAUAAUCUUAUCUGGUAAAGCGAAUGAUUAGAGGCCUUAGGGUCGAAACGAUCUUAACCUAUUCUCAAACUUUAAAUGGGUAAGAACCUUAACUUUCUUGAUAUGAAGUUCAAGGUUAUGAUAUAAUGUGCCCAGUGGGCCACUUUUGGUAAGCAGAACUGGCGCUGUGGGAUGAACCAAACGUAAUGUUACGGUGCCCAAAUUAACAACUCAUGCAGAUACCAUGAAAGGCGUUGGUUGCUUAAAACAGCAGGACGGUGAUCAUGGAAGUCGAAAUCCGCUAAGGAGUGUGUAACAACUCACCUGCCGAAGCAACUAGCCCUUAAAAUGGAUGGCGCUUAAGUUGUAUACCUAUACAUUACCGCUAAAGUAGAUGAUUUAUAUUACUUGUGAUAUAAAUUUUGAAACUUUAGUGAGUAGGAAGGUACAAUGGUAUGCGUAGAAGUGUUUGGCGUAAGCCUGCAUGGAGCUGCCAUUGGUACAGAUCUUGGUGGUAGUAGCAAAUAAUCGAAUGAGACCUUGGAGGACUGAAGUGGAGAAGGGUUUCGUGUGAACAGUGGUUGAUCACGAGUUAGUCGCGUCCUAAGUUCAAGGCGAAAGCCGAAAAUUUUCAAGUAAAACAAAAAUGCCUAACUAUAUAAACAAAGCGAAUUAUAAUACACUUGAAUAAUUUUGAACGAAAGGGAAUACGGUUCCAAUUCCGUAACCUGUUGAGUAUCCGUUUGUUAUUAAAUAUGGGCCUCGUGCUCAUCCUGGCAACAGGAACGACCAUAAAGAAGCCGUCGAGAGAUAUCGGAAGAGUUUUCUUUUCUGUUUUAUAGCCGUACUACCAUGGAAGUCUUUCGCAGAGAGAUAUGGUAGAUGGGCUAGAAGAGCAUGACAUAUACUGUUGUGUCGAUAUUUUCUCCUCGGACCUUGAAAAUUUAUGGUGGGGACACGCAAACUUCUCAACAGGCCGUACCAAUAUCCGCAGCUGGUCUCCAAGGUGAAGAGUCUCUAGUCGAUAGAAUAAUGUAGGUAAGGGAAGUCGGCAAAUUAGAUCCGUAACUUCGGGAUAAGGAUUGGCUCUGAAGAUUGAGAUAGUCGGGCUUGAUUGGGAAACAAUAACAUGGUUUAUGUGCUCGUUCUGGGUAAAUAGAGUUUCUAGCAUUUAUGUUAGUUACUUGUUCCCCGGAUAGUUUAGUUACGUAGCCAAUUGUGGAACUUUCUUGCUAAAAUUUUUAAGAAUACUAUUUGGGUUAAACCAAUUAGUUCUUAUUAAUUAUAACGAUUAUCAAUUAACAAUCAAUUCAGAACUGGCACGGACUUGGGAAUCCGACUGUCUAAUUAAAACAAAGCAUUGUGAUGGCCCUAGCGGUGUUGACACAAUGUGAUUUCUCCCAGUGCUCUGAAUGUCAAAGUGAAGAAAAGUCAAAAUUCAAGCCAAAUGCCUCGUCAUCUAAUUAGUGACGCGCAUGAAUGGAUUAACGAGAUUCCUACUGUCCCUAUCUACUAUCUAGCGAAACCACAGCCAAGGAACGGGCUUGGAAUAAUUAGCGGGGAAAGAAGACCUCUUUGAGCUUGACUCUAAUCUGGCAGUGUAAGGAGACAUAAGAGGUGUAGAAUAAGUGGGAGAUAUUAGACCUCGGUUUGGUAUCGUCAAUGAAAUACCACUACUCUUAUUGUUUCCUUACUUACUUGAUUAAAUGGAACGUGUAUCAUUUCCUAGCCAUUAUACGGAUAUAUUUAUUAUAUCUUAUGGUAUUGGGUUUUGAUGCAAGCUUCUUGAUCAAAGUAUCACGAGUUUGUUAUAUAAUCGCAAACAAAUUCUUUAAUAAAACGAUGCAUUUAUGUAUUUUUGAUUUGAAAAUUUGGUAUAACUCCAAUUACUCAGGUAUGAUCCAAUUCAAGGACA
This 3650-nucleotide ribosomal RNA is filed under the name Drosophila melanogaster (fruit fly). RNAcentral describes it as "eukaryotic LSU rRNA". The stretch from base 574 to 3650 matches the Rfam family "Eukaryotic large subunit ribosomal RNA", at positions 1 to 2604 of the family's 3401-position model. Lineage: Eukaryota; Metazoa; Arthropoda; Insecta; Diptera; Drosophilidae. The record is from RNAcentral.